GAGAAAAUUGCUUAGCAGCUUCAAUUGAGGUUGCUGCCUUUCAACCUGUAUAAUAAAAGUAAAAUUCAAUAUAUAACAGAGGAGAGCAAGGAGAAAAACCAUCAUACCAAUAAGAAGACUAUGCAAACCUUACCAAAAGUAGUAGUAGUAAUAAUAAUAAUAAUAAUAAGUAAAUAAAUAAAUAAAUGUAUUAAAACAUUUAAAAUAUUUGAAUUUAAAAAUAUAUUAUUCUUUAUUUAAAAAAAAUUUCAUUAGUUUAAAAAUAAAAACUCAUGGUUAAAGAGUUUUGAAUGAACUUUUACUUUUUUAUGUUUAUCUCUUUAAUAAUUCAAAUAAAUAUUAUAAAACUAUCUAAAUAUAAUUUACAUUUUUACAGUUUUAAGAUCCCUUGUACCGCGAUUGUCAUAUUGUUUUAUUGUAGUUUCUGUUAUGUUUGUGUUGUUUCUGGUACUUCCAUUUACCCUUUCUAGGACAGCUUUGGACUACUUUUCUUAAGCCGAGGUGUAUCGGAAACAACCUCUCUACCUUUGAGGUAGGGGUAAGGACUGGGUACCCUCUAUUCUCUCCAAACCCCACCUAGUAAGACUACACUACUGGGGGUGGCAAUUGAGUGGGUGGAUCAAAUUUGGGCGGUCCAAACGGGUCAAGCCCCAACCCGACCCAAAUUUGACUGGGCCAAAAUUGGUUGGGUCAGCUGGGUUAGGUAAUGGGUGACCCAAACCCAACUAGUUUUUUACUAAGUUUUAAUUGCUUUACUUGUCCUUUUAUAAACUUUUAGUACCUAAUAAAAUUAUUUUUUCAUUAUUAUGGAUAUAUAUAUAUUAUAUCAAAUUAAAAAAAGUCUUUUAAAAAUAUGUUGACAGGAUUUCUCAAAAAUCCAUUUGGGCUACAUAUUAACCUAAUUGUUAAUGGGUUGAACUAAUAAAUGGCCAGGUCAAUAAACAACGCAUAGUUAAAUGGGUUAGGUUUGAUUUUGGCACCCCUAUAAACUACACUGGUUAAGUUGGUGCUGUUGAGAAUAUGGAACACUGAUAUUAGUAAGGUGCAAUAUGAACUUUGUAAAGCUACACAUUGAGCAACAACAACACAUUGAGCAAUAUAAGCUAAUUAUUAUGCACAUAAAGAACCAACAUUUGAGUUUCAUAACCCAAUAUAACAACAGCCAAAGUAAGCUACACAAGCUUGAGCCUCGGAAAACAUCAUACUUGGAAGCUGAUAAAAUAUAACCGACAAAAAGCCGAUUUUUGUCAACAAGAGAAAGGGAAAAAAUCUUUAAUCUUAGAAACAGAUAAAAAAGAGUAGCAGUAUUAGGGUUUUACAACCAAACACACCAAGAAAUCUCCAAUUAUGAAUAAAACCAACAAAAAUCUUAAGUAAGUGAACGAAAGAUCUGAUAAAGAGUGCAAAAAAAAGUGACCUGUGUGAGAAGGCGUAUUAGAGCCAUGUAAAGAUUGAUCUUUUCUUGAACCCCUUUGUCACGUUUCUCUCAAAAACUUCCUCCUCUUUUUCUGUCGAGUUUCUUUCUUGGUGAUUCCUUAUACUGCGAUUUCUUGUGAACUUUAAUUGGCGAUCGAAAAUGGAGAGGCAGGGGAAACUGGAAAGGGAAGGUUGAUUUUUUCCUUCCAAGAGAGACUUAAAAUAUAUAUUAUUUAAAAAUAAAUUAAAGUAAUUGAAC
This 1675-nucleotide long non-coding RNA is filed under the name Capsicum annuum. RNAcentral's name for it is "long non-coding RNA (CANN_LNC001798)". Lineage: Eukaryota; Viridiplantae; Streptophyta; Magnoliopsida; Solanales; Solanaceae. The record is from RNAcentral.